RNAcentral lists this transfer RNA (60 nucleotides) under Lasmigona complanata. Its description in RNAcentral is "tRNA-Thr". Lineage: Eukaryota; Metazoa; Mollusca; Bivalvia; Unionida; Unionidae. The record is from RNAcentral.
CUCUGAGAAGCUAAUAAGCAUUGGUCUUGUAAAUCAAAGAUAAGAAAACUUCUCCAGAGU